GAAAAUCUCUCAUCAAAUUAAUUUUUGGUGGAUGUUGAGUGCUGCUGCUAUCUAGCUCACUUUAAAUAUAUAAGUUCUUUCUACUAUUUGUUGGAUUGACUUGGUGUAAUAUCUUUUUCAUCAUCAAGGAAAGUAGCAAUACUUGCCAAUAAUAAUAGAAUAAGGACUCCUAAACAAUUGAUUUUAUUAUCAAUAAUUUAUUCAUUU
RNAcentral lists this unclassified non-coding RNA (207 nucleotides) under Puccinia dioicae var. micropuncta. Its description in RNAcentral is "ITS2". The record is from RNAcentral. Lineage: Eukaryota; Fungi; Basidiomycota; Pucciniomycetes; Pucciniales; Pucciniaceae.